This 620-nucleotide long non-coding RNA is filed under the name Capsicum annuum. RNAcentral describes it as "long non-coding RNA (CANN_LNC004721)". Lineage: Eukaryota; Viridiplantae; Streptophyta; Magnoliopsida; Solanales; Solanaceae. The record is from RNAcentral.
CCCCCACAACAUUCAAAUCAAUCACAUAGCAUUUCUCCACCAACUUUUUUCCAAAGUUAUCUAAAAGAAAUUCGUGUUAAAAAACUGGCCAUCAACUACCAAGGUGAGACUUCAACCCCUCAAAAACAAAGGAAAAAAUCAGCGGCAGCUAAUAAGAGGCUCAAAGUAAACUAGAUUAGAGCACAAAUACUAGGCGCCAAGCAUCAUAAAGAUUCUAAACGGAUAGCCAAAGAGAACUUCUAGAGUAUGCAAUAUAGCUCCAUUGAAAUGCUUGUGGAUGGACCAAUCAAAAUCACAAUGCCACUAUUUCAAUUCCAAUCAUGUAAACCAUUACUUCAUCUGCCACAAGCACUUCCAUUAACCAAGAUCAUCGAGAACCAUUCACAAAAAAUAAGAAAAAACUAGUAAGUUCAGCCUUCUUAAACCACUGCGUUGCAAGGCAAUCAAACCUCAUCCCAACUAUGUUUGAAUGAUGCAGUUCUACAGGUUCAACCUACAAAUCAAUAAAACAGAUUUCAGAAAAUUUUGUGAAUCAAGUUUCAGUCAAGAACACGAAAUAAUGCAUCUAAGCUAUCUGCUCUAAUCCACUAUUAAGGGGAAACCAAGUUGAAAUGGAAGUA